Molecule: ribosomal RNA, 397 nt
Filed under: uncultured bacterium
Lineage: Bacteria
Description: bacterial SSU rRNA
Rfam family: Bacterial small subunit ribosomal RNA
Source: RNAcentral
AUUGAACGCUGGCGGCAUGCCUUACACAUGCAAGUCGAACGGCAGCGGACCUUCGGGUGCCGGCGAGUGGCGAACGGGUGAGUAAUAUAUCGGAACGUACCUUUCAGUGGGGGAUAACGUAGCGAAAGUUACGCUAAUACCGCAUAUUCUGUGAGCAGGAAAGCAGGGGAUCGCAAGACCUUGCGCUGAUUGAGCGGCCGAUAUCAGAUUAGCUAGUUGGUGAGGUAAAGGCUCACCAAGGCGACGAUCUGUAGCGGGUCUGAGAGGAUGAUCCGCCACACUGGAACUGAGACACGGUCCAGACUCCUACGGGAGGCAGCAGUGGGGAAUUUUUGGACAAUGGGCGCAAGCCUGAUCCAGCCAUGCCGCGUGAGUGAAGAAGGCCUGGUUGUUAAGA